Molecule: ribosomal RNA, 447 nt
Filed under: uncultured bacterium
Lineage: Bacteria
Description: partial 16S ribosomal RNA
Rfam family: Bacterial small subunit ribosomal RNA
Source: RNAcentral
GACGAACGCUGGCGGCAGGCUUAACACAUGCAAGUCGAACGCCCCGCAAGGGGAGUAGCAGACGGGUGAGUAACGCGUGGGAAUCUACCCAUCCCUACGGAACAACUCCGGGAAACUGGAGCUAAUACCGUAUACGCCCUACGGGGGAAAGAUUUAUCGGGGAUGGAUGAGCCCGCGUUGGAUUAGCUAGUUGGUGGGGUAAAGGCCUACCAAGGCGACGAUCCAUAGCUGGUCUGAGAGGAUGAUCAGCCACAUUGGGACUGAGACACGGCCCAAACUCCUACGGGAGGCAGCAGUGGGGAAUAUUGGACAAUGGGCGCAAGCCUGAUCCAGCCAUGCCGCGCGAGUGAUGAAGGUCUUAGGAUUGUAAAGCUCUUUCACCGAUGAAGAUAAUGACGGUAGUCGGAGAAGAAGCCCCGGCUAACUUCGUGCCAGCCGCCGCGGUAA